This 2927-nucleotide ribosomal RNA is filed under the name Escherichia coli. RNAcentral describes it as "bacterial LSU rRNA". It matches the Rfam family "Bacterial large subunit ribosomal RNA". The record is from RNAcentral. Lineage: Bacteria; Pseudomonadati; Pseudomonadota; Gammaproteobacteria; Enterobacterales; Enterobacteriaceae.
GGGUUGUGAGGUUAAGCGACUAAGCGUACACGGUGGAUGCCCUGGCAGUCAGAGGCGAUGAAGGACGUGCUAAUCUGCGAUAAGCGUCGGUAAGGUGAUAUGAACCGUUAUAACCGGCGAUUUCCGAAUGGGGAAACCCAGUGUGUUUCGACACACUAUCAUUAACUGAAUCCAUAGGUUAAUGAGGCGAACCGGGGGAACUGAAACAUCUAAGUACCCCGAGGAAAAGAAAUCAACCGAGAUUCCCCCAGUAGCGGCGAGCGAACGGGGAGGAGCCCAGAGCCUGAAUCAGUGUGUGUGUUAGUGGAAGCGUCUGGAAAGGCGCGCGAUACAGGGUGACAGCCCCGUACACAAAAAUGCACAUGCUGUGAGCUCGAUGAGUAGGGCGGGACACGUGGUAUCCUGUCUGAAUAUGGGGGGACCAUCCUCCAAGGCUAAAUACUCCUGACUGACCGAUAGUGAACCAGUACCGUGAGGGAAAGGCGAAAAGAACCCCGGCGAGGGGAGUGAAAAAGAACCUGAAACCGUGUACGUACAAGCAGUGGGAGCACGCUUAGGCGUGUGACUGCGUACCUUUUGUAUAAUGGGUCAGCGACUUAUAUUCUGUAGCAAGGUUAACCGAAUAGGGGAGCCGAAGGGAAACCGAGUCUUAACUGGGCGUUAAGUUGCAGGGUAUAGACCCGAAACCCGGUGAUCUAGCCAUGGGCAGGUUGAAGGUUGGGUAACACUAACUGGAGGACCGAACCGACUAAUGUUGAAAAAUUAGCGGAUGACUUGUGGCUGGGGGUGAAAGGCCAAUCAAACCGGGAGAUAGCUGGUUCUCCCCGAAAGCUAUUUAGGUAGCGCCUCGUGAAUUCAUCUCCGGGGGUAGAGCACUGUUUCGGCAAGGGGGUCAUCCCGACUUACCAACCCGAUGCAAACUGCGAAUACCGGAGAAUGUUAUCACGGGAGACACACGGCGGGUGCUAACGUCCGUCGUGAAGAGGGAAACAACCCAGACCGCCAGCUAAGGUCCCAAAGUCAUGGUUAAGUGGGAAACGAUGUGGGAAGGCCCAGACAGCCAGGAUGUUGGCUUAGAAGCAGCCAUCAUUUAAAGAAAGCGUAAUAGCUCACUGGUCGAGUCGGCCUGCGCGGAAGAUGUAACGGGGCUAAACCAUGCACCGAAGCUGCGGCAGCGACGCUUAUGCGUUGUUGGGUAGGGGAGCGUUCUGUAAGCCUGCGAAGGUGUGCUGUGAGGCAUGCUGGAGGUAUCAGAAGUGCGAAUGCUGACAUAAGUAACGAUAAAGCGGGUGAAAAGCCCGCUCGCCGGAAGACCAAGGGUUCCUGUCCAACGUUAAUCGGGGCAGGGUGAGUCGACCCCUAAGGCGAGGCCGAAAGGCGUAGUCGAUGGGAAACAGGUUAAUAUUCCUGUACUUGGUGUUACUGCGAAGGGGGGACGGAGAAGGCUAUGUUGGCCGGGCGACGGUUGUCCCGGUUUAAGCGUGUAGGCUGGUUUUCCAGGCAAAUCCGGAAAAUCAAGGCUGAGGCGUGAUGACGAGGCACUACGGUGCUGAAGCAACAAAUGCCCUGCUUCCAGGAAAAGCCUCUAAGCAUCAGGUAACAUCAAAUCGUACCCCAAACCGACACAGGUGGUCAGGUAGAGAAUACCAAGGCGCUUGAGAGAACUCGGGUGAAGGAACUAGGCAAAAUGGUGCCGUAACUUCGGGAGAAGGCACGCUGAUAUGUAGGUGAAGUCCCUCGCGGAUGGAGCUGAAAUCAGUCGAAGAUACCAGCUGGCUGCAACUGUUUAUUAAAAACACAGCACUGUGCAAACACGAAAGUGGACGUAUACGGUGUGACGCCUGCCCGGUGCCGGAAGGUUAAUUGAUGGGGUUCAGCGCAAGCGAAGCUCUUGAUCGAAGCCCCGGUAAACGGCGGCCGUAACUAUAACGGUCCUAAGGUAGCGAAAUUCCUUGUCGGGUAAGUUCCGACCUGCACGAAUGGCGUAAUGAUGGCCAGGCUGUCUCCACCCGAGACUCAGUGAAAUUGAAACUCGCUGUGAAGAUGCAGUGUACCCGCGGCAAGACGGAAAGACCCCGUGAACCUUUACUAUAGCUUGACACUGAACAUUGAGCCUUGAUGUGUAGGAUAGGUGGGAGGCUUGGAAGUGUGGACGCCAGUCUGCAUGGAGCCGACCUUGAAAUACCACCCUUUAAUGUUUGAUGUUCUAACGUUGACCCGUAAUCCGGGUUGCGGACAGUGUCUGGUGGGUAGUUUGACUGGGGCGGUCUCCUCCUAAAGAGUAACGGAGGAGCACGAAGGUUGGCUAAUCCUGGUCGGACAUCAGGAGGUUAGUGCAAUGGCAUAAGCCAGCUUGACUGCGAGCGUGACGGCGCGAGCAGGUGCGAAAGCAGGUCAUAGUGAUCCGGUGGUUCUGAAUGGAAGGGCCAUCGCUCAACGGAUAAAAGGUACUCCGGGGAUAACAGGCUGAUACCGCCCAAGAGUUCAUAUCGACGGCGGUGUUUGGCACCUCGAUGUCGGCUCAUCACAUCCUGGGGCUGAAGUAGGUCCCAAGGGUAUGGCUGUUCGCCAUUUAAAGUGGUACGCGAGCUGGGUUUAGAACGUCGUGAGACAGUUCGGUCCCUAUCUGCCGUGGGCGCUGGAGAACUGAGGGGGGCUGCUCCUAGUACGAGAGGACCGGAGUGGACGCAUCACUGGUGUUCGGGUUGUCAUGCCAAUGGCACUGCCCGGUAGCUAAAUGCGGAAGAGAUAAGUGCUGAAAGCAUCUAAGCACGAAACUUGCCCCGAGAUGAGUUCUCCCUGACUCCUUGAGAGUCCUGAAGGAACGUUGAAGACGACGACGUUGAUAGGCCGGGUGUGUAAGCGCAGCGAUGCGUUGAGCUAACCGGUACUAAUGAACCGUGAGGCUUAACCUUACAACGCCGAAG